RNAcentral lists this ribosomal RNA (253 nucleotides) under uncultured bacterium. Its description in RNAcentral is "partial 16S ribosomal RNA". It matches the Rfam family "Bacterial small subunit ribosomal RNA", at positions 524 to 776 of the family's 1533-position model. The record is from RNAcentral.
UACGUAGGGUGCGAGCGUUAAUCGGAAUUACUGGGCGUAAAGCGUGCGCAGGCGGUGAUGUAAGACAGAUGUGAAAUCCCCGGGCUCAACCUGGGAACUGCAUUUGUGACUGCAUCGCUGGAGUGCGGCAGAGGGGGAUGGAAUUCCGCGUGUAGCAGUGAAAUGCGUAGAUAUGCGGAGGAACACCGAUGGCGAAGGCAAUCCCCUGGGCCUGUACUGACGCUCAUGCACGAAAGCGUGGGGAGCGAACAGG